RNAcentral lists this long non-coding RNA (252 nucleotides) under Ananas comosus (pineapple). Its description in RNAcentral is "long non-coding RNA (ACOM_LNC003677)". The record is from RNAcentral. Lineage: Eukaryota; Viridiplantae; Streptophyta; Magnoliopsida; Poales; Bromeliaceae.
AAAGAUUUUCUCCGCGAUUUCGCUUUGCAAUCACCCAAACUCCAAAGCGGACAUCUGACGGAGGUUUUGGCUUGGAACCUUCUGGAAGCUUCUACGUGGAUCUCGAGGCUGAUUGGCGCGGAUGCCGAGGAGUCAAGAGUCCCUUAGGGUUUCUAGGCAAUAAAUGCAUGACUCUUAGAAUUCCUAUGCAUAUUUAUUAUGACUCUUGGGAGACCGUAGCGUAUUUAUUGGCCUCCCCUUUUGGCUUGUAGU